UACGUAGGGUGCGAGCGUUAAUCGGAAUUACUGCGCGUAAAGCGUGCGCAGGCGGUCUUGCAAGACAGAUGUGAAAGCCCCGGGCUUAACCUGGGAACUGCAUUUGUGACUGCAAGGCUGGAGUGCGGCAGAGGGGGAUGGAAUUCCGCGUGUAGCAGUGAAAUGCGUAGAUAUGCGGAGGAACACCGAUGGCGAAGGCAAUCCCCUGGGCCUGCACUGACGCUCAUGCACGAAAGCGUGGGGAGCAAACAGG
This 253-nucleotide ribosomal RNA is filed under the name uncultured bacterium. Its description in RNAcentral is "partial 16S ribosomal RNA". It matches the Rfam family "Bacterial small subunit ribosomal RNA", at positions 524 to 776 of the family's 1533-position model. The record is from RNAcentral.